Molecule: long non-coding RNA, 314 nt
Filed under: Phoenix dactylifera (date palm)
Lineage: Eukaryota; Viridiplantae; Streptophyta; Magnoliopsida; Arecales; Arecaceae
Description: long non-coding RNA (PDAC_LNC022225)
Source: RNAcentral
AAAAUUCAGAUUCUCCCCCUCAACAUAUGCAUUCUACUUUGUUUUGAUUCUUUGAAUUUUCUUUUAAUGCUUUGAAGUUUUUGAACUGAAAUUUUGGUUUUUAGAGGGAAAAUCUGUCAAUUUGUUCUUGAGUAGGAUUUAGCUAAUCUCCGAAUAUCCCUUGAAUAGAUUCUGGAGAUUACUCCAUUAGGAGCCCCAAAAGAGAGAUAAUGAGCCUCGGGGUACCAAAUCCACUUAGAACAAAUUUGUGUGUUUUAAGAGUUUAUCUUUUUAUUGAUUUCCAUUGAUUCCUUUUACAUAUUUUAUACAUAUUU